RNAcentral lists this long non-coding RNA (1518 nucleotides) under Apteryx haastii (Great spotted kiwi). RNAcentral's name for it is "lncRNA (ENSAHAG00000010951.1)". Lineage: Eukaryota; Metazoa; Chordata; Aves; Apterygiformes; Apterygidae. The record is from RNAcentral.
AUGCGAGGCCCUGCUAGGCGAGAGCAACCCCUCGCUCAGCGGUUGCAGUGCUGUGUGCAUGGUGCUGGGCAAAGUCCAGAGCUGCUGCCUGCAGAUGGCAGUGCCUGCACAGAGCUGGUGCGUGGUGUGGAGCCGUGCCCGGGGCUGGGGAAGCAAAGGGAGUUCUUCCUGAGGGCACCUCUUGUCGCAUUCUCUGGCCUCCUGGGAGACCUGUGCAGCCUCUCUGGGCCGGGGGCUGCAGCUGUCCUGCCACAGACGAGGCCUCAGGUGCACCCCCCGAACCAGCGGGGACGUGCGGCCGAGCUCUGCGGGCGUCGCCGUACCUGCGAGGGCUCCCAGAGCGUGCCACGAGGGGCUGUGCUGCCAAGCCCUGUCCUGUCACGUGGCCAAGCCCCAGGGGGAUGCUUCUCCGCAGGGAGUUUCCCCCAUCCCCUCCUCAUCACUCUCACACCCCACAGCCCCCUCAUUCCUGUUUCUGAGUUGCCCUCUGCAUCCCAAGGGCUCUGGUCCAGCCUUUGCUGGGUCACCCAUGCCUGGCUCUGCUCGUCUCAUGAGCGUGGAGGUAAGCGGCCUUGUCCCGGGAACGAUUUUUUUAAAAAGCUGCUGGCUUUCAGGUGUGUUUGCUGCUGUUGCUGCUCAGCUCCGGUCUGGGCUCCCUGGGCAUCACCAUGUCCAAAGGGACCAUGGGUGCUACUGCAGGACGGUCCAUGCUGGAGGGGCCAUGCGUGGCCCAGCCUGCCGCAGGGAGGUAACGCCAGCAGCGGGUGGCAAGGGGCUUUUUUUCCUCCGGUGUCUGUAACUCAGAGCAGUGAGAACGGACAGGCAGAGCUGGUUCCCGGACGCUGCCAAACCUGCUGUGGGUGGGGCACCGUGGAGAGGAAGAGCGYGGCAGGGCAGCGAAGGCUGGCAGCGGGCUCCAGCCGAGGCGGCCGCGUGAAGGCUGCUCUGCCCUCCCCAGCCCGCCCCUGCCCGGCCCUGCAGCUGCCUCCCAGCUCGCGCUUCUGCCACCGCGUUGCUGAGUCUGCAGGUGGCCCCGGGGCCCUGCAGCGCUCCGCAGACGCGGGGGCAAGCGGGCAGGGUGACGGCCCCCGGGGGCACCGGCGCGGGGCCUGCCGGGGCAGGUGGGCGCGCGAGGGCUCAGGUGGCAGCAAGGAAAGUCCCCCGCCUGCACGGCCCAGCUCGCCUCGGAGUUUCCAGCCUGAAACCAGGGCUCGCUCUGCAGCUGGGAAAAUGUUUUCAGAACUUCCCGCGAGACAGAAGUUCGUCAGCCUGCAGCCUCCGAAGGAGAUGUUGCCGGGGGAUUUCGGGGCCGGGCUGGAGGCCACGGCAGGGGGUGUGUGGGGCCAGCCAGCCGCUCAGGCCCGCCUGCUUCUCCUUAUCUUUUCCCCUGCCUGCAGCCCCCCGGCUGACCUGCCAGGGAGCCUUUCGCCUGCCUGUCAGCUGGAACCGCACCCCGGCAGGCCCUCCGCCCCGCUCCCCCGCGUGUGCCCAGCGCCCGGGCUGCUCGGGUGUUCGUAG